Molecule: long non-coding RNA, 1887 nt
Filed under: Ornithorhynchus anatinus (platypus)
Lineage: Eukaryota; Metazoa; Chordata; Mammalia; Monotremata; Ornithorhynchidae
Description: lncRNA (ENSOANG00000043380.1)
Source: RNAcentral
CUUAAUCCCCAUUUUACAGAUGAGGGAACUGAGGCCCAGAGAAGUGAAGUGACUUGCCCAAGGUCACACAGCAGACAACCGGUGGAGCUGGGAUUAGAACCCAUGACCUCUGUCUCCCAAGCCCGGGCUCUUUCCACUAAGCCACGCUGCUUCUCAUAGUACAGUGUCUGGCACAUAGUAAGCUCUUAACAAAUGUCAUUUUAAAAGAAAAAAAUGAGGGCUUCCAGCCCCUUGGGCCUUAGGGGUCCAUCAACCAGCCCUCUGGGCCAGUGAGAAGGCAGCCCACGAGGGCAGGGAAUGUGUCGGUUAUGUUGUUAUAUUGUUCUCUCCCCAGUGCUUAGUAUAGUGCUCGGCACACAGUAAGCGCUCAAUACAUACAAGUGACUGACUGAGACGGCCCCCGCCCAGCAAAAAUACCCUGUCUCUACUGCCCCAGGCUGAUUGUUUUCAAGCCCUUCCAGUAGCAAACCCCCCUCCCGCUAGCUGGCUAACAGUCCCAGCACGGUAGCACCUUUGGCCAGUGUUUUCCACCUCCCCGGGCUUUGCCCUGGACGGGCCUGGCCGACACGCAGCCGAUCAGAAGGUUUUGCAGGAGACGAACUCUGCCAUUGGCCGCACCACCUGACUCCCACGCAUGAAGGACCUCGCACAGGAGAGAGAGGAAGCGGGGCCUGGUUAUGGGAUUGAUUGGAGCGGCAGUCCGUGCCCUCUCUGACCUCCAAAUUGAGAACGAUCACUUUAGGGAGAAAUAAAGAAAUAGAAGAGAACCGGGGUACGGGUCAGCGGGGCUGGGCGGGUACCGAGGACGGGAAAUGGAAUCUUUAAACGCCACCUGAUUCCAGAGAGUCAGGGUGAAUAGGGAGAGGGCCAAGCCGGGGUGGGAAGGAUGGACUUUUGAGAAUCUGUGGGGGUGGAUGUGAAGGAGCCGGUCCCCCCCAACUCCCCGCGGAAGGGUCGGUCAGCCCCAGCAUCCUCAGCGGCGGGAGACACGCCAGCGCCGUCCGUGUCCGGCCCGGUCCAGAUCCGUCCCGGAAUCUCGUCUUUGGCUGCAGAAAUUUCAGCUGCGGUUGCAGAUGUUUUUGUGUGCGUGACUGAGGCCAGGCAGGGGCCUGCUCCGCUAUCACCGGGAGAAUCUGGGCACAGAUCGUUCCACCUGGGUGGGGAGGGGGACUGAAAUAAUAAAACCGCAGGAUGGUUUGGGGGACCGUUGAUUUCAUUCUCUCGUUCCAAUAAACGAGAGCCACGCGGCAGCCGGCCGGGCUGCGGAAGCAUCCCAGUCGGCUAAAAGACUGAGAGGGUCUUCGGGCGGGAGGUUGGCCGUGGUUAAUGGAACCGUCCGCGAGGGCUGGAAUCAAAACUAUUCACAGAUUGAGAAAGGAGGAAGAGGAAGAAAAUGGAUAGCAGAAAGUAGUUCAGAUGUGUCAAGAUGAAAUAGCUCGAUGGUAAUGAUUGAGUAUACAGAUAAAAAUACAGAUUUGCCAUGGGUACGUAAGUGUCUGGGGUAGUAAGCAACGUGGUUUAGUGGAAAGAGCACUGGCCUGAGAGCCAAGAGACCAGAGUUCUAAUCCGGUCUCCAUCAUUCGUCUAUUGUGUGACCCUUGGCAAAUCACUCUAUCUCUCUGGGCCUGUUUCCUCAUCUGUCAAAAUGGGAUUAAAUGCCCGUUCUGCCUCCCCUUUAGACUAUAAGCCCCUUGUAGGCCGGGGACUGUGUCCAACCUGAUUAUCUUAGAUCUACAACAGCGCCUUGCACUCUGCUUGACACAAAGUAAGCUCUUAACUAAUAGCAGGAUUAUUAUGAUGAUGAUAGUGAUGGCGAUGAUUAUGAUGAUGAUGAAUGGGGUCAGGAAAUGUGCCUACUAACUCUUGUAUUGUAGUACUUAGUACAGU